Molecule: ribosomal RNA, 376 nt
Filed under: uncultured organism
Description: partial 16S ribosomal RNA
Rfam family: Bacterial small subunit ribosomal RNA
Source: RNAcentral
GUAGGGUGCAAGCGUUAUCCGGAAAUCAUUGGGCGUAAAGAGCUCGUAGGCGGUUCAGCAAGUCGGCUGUGAAAUCCCGAGGGCUUAACCUCGGAACUGCAGUCGAUACUGCUGUGACUAGAGUCCGGUAGAGGAGAAUGGAAUUCCCGGUGUAGCGGUGAAAUGCGCAGAUAUCGGGAGGAACACCAGUAGCGAAGGCGGUUCUCUGGGCCGGUACUGACGCUGAGGAGCGAAAGCGUGGGUAGCAAACAGGAUUAGAUACCCUGGUAGUCCACGCCGUAAACGUUGGACACUAGGUGUGGCGUUCCGACCAACGGGUGCCGUGCCGAAGCUAACGCAUUAAGUGUCCCGCCUGGGGAGUACGGCCGCAAGGCUA